This 247-nucleotide unclassified non-coding RNA is filed under the name uncultured Chaetomiaceae. RNAcentral's name for it is "sequence contains ITS2". The stretch from base 1 to 52 matches the Rfam family "5.8S ribosomal RNA", at positions 103 to 154 of the family's 154-position model. The record is from RNAcentral. Lineage: Eukaryota; Fungi; Ascomycota; Sordariomycetes; Sordariales.
AACGCACAUUGCGCCCGCGAGUAUUCUCGCGGGCAUGCCUGUUCGAGCGUCAUUUCAACCAUCAAGCCCCCGGCUUGUGUUGGGGACCUGCGGCUGCCGCAGGCCCUGAAAACCAGUGGCGGGCUCGCUAGUCACUCCGAGCGUAGUAAUACAUCUCGCUCAGGGCGUGCUGCGGGUUCCGGCCGUUAAAAAGCCUUAUUUACCCAAGGUUGACCUCGGAUCAGGUAGGAAGACCCGCUGAACUUAA